Molecule: long non-coding RNA, 836 nt
Organism: Gambusia affinis (western mosquitofish)
Lineage: Eukaryota; Metazoa; Chordata; Actinopteri; Cyprinodontiformes; Poeciliidae
Exons: 3
Source: RefSeq, a predicted model, not a curated record
CCGCCGGAAAGAGUUGAACGCCUUCUUGGUGGCAGAUGAGGCCUCUACCAACUGCUCUUUCACAUCUUCUGUCAUCGUUACAGCUGAAUCUCGGGCUGCAGCAAAGUUGUGAAAUAAAAAGUCAUCAUUUAGAGAUGCUGUGCAGCUGUGAGUCUUCAAAAAUACAGCCAGUAGUGUGGGAUGACAGGAGCUUUGGUGACUCAUCAUUGACGCAGUGCAUGUUGGACGACUUUCCAUACCACAAACAAUAUUUAUGGACGAUUCAAGGCCAGCUGGCAGCACAAUCCAUACGACAUCCUUACAUCACUGCCUUCCAGCAGGGGGCUGAGGUCAGCGCCCCUCUGUUACAGCCCUGACAUCACAAGCAAGGGUACGCGCAGACUCGCAUAAAAUGUCUUAUAUUGGCUUCACUGGUUGAGGGAGUGAUGUAAUGUUUUACUGUUUGUGUACGGAUGUAAAAGUGCAAACAAUUCUCAAAACAAUAAGCGACAAACUCUGCAUAUUGACAUUAAGUAAAAGGUGCUUUUUACAGAGCAUUAGUGUAGAUGUUUUCAAAAAUCAUGGACAUUAUAAGCCCCUGUUCAUCCUUUUAAUUAUAACAUAACAACAUAUUUUGGGUUUUUUCAUUAAAAUUUGGAAAUGAUUUGUCACUCACUUGUUUUUUUACAUCACAAAAACCUGGCCCAUAAACACAGACGUGUAAACUUUUGAGAUCCAAAAACUCGAAUUGAUGAACCAAACGCACAAUGACUCAAGAAUUAUCACCAACUGAAAAGAGGAUGUUGGUGCUUCGGUUCGGUGUCAUUUCUGAACAUUUUAAAGGCCAAACAACUGUG